AAAUUCUCAAAGUAAAUCUUUUUGUUAAUUCAAUUGGUUUCACUUUGGAUUUGGAGGUCUAUUGCAGCUUCACACCUGCUCCUCUUUGUAUAUUAGCUGGAUCUCAGUGUUAUGCUUGGUUCCACUCGGCGUGAUAAGUUAUCUAUCGCUGAGGACACUUCUUUUUUUUUUCUAAAAAAAAAAUAAAGGUGGCCAAGGGAAAUGCAGAUGAACCGCUUCCAAUAGUCCAUUAACUUGGACAAAUAUAUUUAUG
This 253-nucleotide unclassified non-coding RNA is filed under the name uncultured Ceratobasidiaceae. RNAcentral describes it as "partial internal transcribed spacer 2". Lineage: Eukaryota; Fungi; Basidiomycota; Agaricomycetes; Cantharellales; Ceratobasidiaceae. The record is from RNAcentral.